RNAcentral lists this ribosomal RNA (837 nucleotides) under uncultured bacterium. RNAcentral's name for it is "bacterial SSU rRNA". It matches the Rfam family "Bacterial small subunit ribosomal RNA", at positions 9 to 841 of the family's 1533-position model. The record is from RNAcentral.
GAGUUUGAUCAUGGCUCAGAUUGAACGCUGGCGGUAGGCUUAACACAUGCAAGUCGUGCGAGAAAGUAUCUUCGGAUAUGAGUAGAGCGGCGGACGGGUGAGUAACGCGUAGGAAUCUACCUAGUAGAAGGGGAUAGCCCGGGGAAACCCGGAUUAAUACCGUAUACCUCCUUCGGGAGAAAGAAGGCCUCUCUUUGAAGCUUUCGCUACUAGAUGAGCCUGCGUAAGAUUAGCUUGUUGGUGAGGUAAAGGCUCACCAAGGCUACGAUCUUUAGCUGGUCUGAGAGGACGAUCAGCCACAUUGGGACUGAGACACGGCCCAGACUCCUACGGGAGGCAGCAGUGGGGAAUAUUGGACAAUGGGCGCAAGCCUGAUCCAGCCAUACCGCGUGUGUGAAGAAGGCCUUCGGGUUGUAAAGCACUUUAAGCAGGGAGAAAAAGUUAUAAGCUAAUACCUUAUGACCUUGAUGUUACCUGCAGAAUAAGCACCGGCUAAUUCCGUGCCAGCAGCCGCGGUAAUACGGAAGGUGCAAGCGUUAAUCGGAAUUACUGGGCGUAAAGCGCGCGUAGGUGGUUUGUUAAGUUGGAUGUGAAAGCCCUGGGCUCAACCUAGGAACUGCAUCCAAAACUAACUCACUAGAGUACGAUAGAGGGAGGUAGAAUUCAUAGUGUAGCGGUGGAAUGCGUAGAUAUUAUGAAGAAUACCAGUGGCGAAGGCGGCCUCCUGGAUCUGUACUGACACUGAGGUGCGAAAGCGUGGGUAGCGAACAGGAUUAGAUACCCUGGUAGUCCACGCCGUAAACGAUGACAACUAGCUGUUGGGAGACUAUGUCUUUC